CAGUAGCCACGGUAAUACGGAUGGUGCAAGCGUUAUCCGGAUUUAUUGGGUUUAAAGGGUCCGUAGGCGGACUUAUAAGUCAGUGGUGAAAGCCUGUCGCUUAACGAUAGAACUGCCAUUGAUACUGUAAGUCUUGAGUAUAUUUGAGGUAGCUGGAAUAAGUAGUGUAGCGGUGAAAUGCAUAGAUAUUACUUAGAACACCAAUUGCGAAGGCAGGUUACCAAGAUAUAACUGACGCUGAGGGACGAAAGCGUGGGUAGCGAACAGGAUUAGAUACCCGCGUAGUCCCUGUCUCUUAUAC
RNAcentral lists this ribosomal RNA (301 nucleotides) under uncultured bacterium. RNAcentral describes it as "partial 16S ribosomal RNA". It matches the Rfam family "Bacterial small subunit ribosomal RNA", at positions 509 to 807 of the family's 1533-position model. The record is from RNAcentral.